RNAcentral lists this ribosomal RNA (454 nucleotides) under uncultured organism. RNAcentral's name for it is "partial 16S ribosomal RNA". It matches the Rfam family "Bacterial small subunit ribosomal RNA", at positions 331 to 801 of the family's 1533-position model. The record is from RNAcentral.
GUACACUCCUGCGGGAGGCAACAGUGGGGAAUAUUGGACAAUGGGCGCAAGCCUGAUCCAGCCAUGCCGCGUGAGUGAUGAAGGCCCUAGGGUUGUAAAGCUCUUUCACCGGUGAAGAUAAUGACGGUAACCGGAGAAGAAGCCCCGGCUAACUUCGUGCCAGCAGCCGCGGUAAUACGAAGGGGGCUAGCGUUGUUCGGAUUUACUGGGCGUAAAGCGCACGUAGGCGGACUAUUAAGUCAGGGGUGAAAUCCCGGGGCUCAACCCCGGAACUGCCUUUGAUACUGGUAGUCUUGAGUUCGAGAGAGGUGAGUGGAAUUCCGAGUGUAGAGGUGAAAUUCGUAGAUAUUCGGAGGAACACCAGUGGCGAAGGCGGCUCACUGGCUCGAUACUGACGCUGAGGUGCGAAAGCGUGGGGAGCAAACAGGAUUAGAUACCCCGGUAGUCCCAUGAU